AUUGAACGCUGGCGGAAUGCUUUACACAUGCAAGUCGAACGGCAGCACGGGAGCUUGCUCCUGGUGGCGAGUGGCGAACGGGUGAGUAACAUAUCGGAACGUACCCAGUCGUGGGGGAUAACUAUCCGAAAGGAUAGCUAAUACCGCAUACGUCCUGAGGGAGAAAGCGGGGGAUCGCAAGACCUCGCGCGAUUGGAGCGGCCGAUAUCGGAUUAGCUAGUUGGGUGGGGUAAAGGCUCACCAAGGCGACGAUCCGUAGCGGGUCUGAGAGGACGACCCGCCACACUGGAACUGAGACACGGUCCAGACUCCUACGGGAGGCAGCAGUGGGGAAUUUUGGACAAUGGGGGCAACCCUGAUCCAGCCAUUCCGCGUGA
This 377-nucleotide ribosomal RNA is filed under the name uncultured bacterium. RNAcentral's name for it is "bacterial SSU rRNA". It matches the Rfam family "Bacterial small subunit ribosomal RNA", at positions 30 to 404 of the family's 1533-position model. The record is from RNAcentral.